GUACUCACUUCAGCAGCACAUAUACUAAAAUUGGGACAGAUUACAGAUUAGCCUGGCCCCUGUGCAAGAAUGGCAUGCAAGUUCGUGAAGCAUUCUGUAUAACA
This 104-nucleotide small nuclear RNA is filed under the name Tupaia belangeri (northern tree shrew). The record is from RNAcentral. Lineage: Eukaryota; Metazoa; Chordata; Mammalia; Scandentia; Tupaiidae. RNAcentral also lists the same sequence under 1 other name.